This 246-nucleotide unclassified non-coding RNA is filed under the name Glomeromycotina sp. RNAcentral's name for it is "partial contains small subunit ribosomal RNA, internal transcribed spacer 1, and 5.8S ribosomal RNA". The stretch from base 1 to 47 matches the Rfam family "Eukaryotic small subunit ribosomal RNA", at positions 1785 to 1831 of the family's 1831-position model. The record is from RNAcentral. Lineage: Eukaryota; Fungi; Glomeromycota.
AAAGUCGUAACAAGGUUUCCGUAGGUGAACCUGCGGAAGGAUCAUUAUUAUUUGGGUCGGGUUUACUACUUAUAACUGUUGCUCUUGUGUCUCAAAUGUAAAGUAGUAAACUUUUACCAAAUAAUCCUAUAUCCAAAUAGGAGCAAGAUGAAUUUAUAUUUAAAACCCACUCUUGAAUGUAUAAAAAUUUUUAUGUAUUAAUGAUAAAAUAAAAGAUCACUUUCAACAACGGAUCUCUUGGCUCUC